AUGAAUUGGAUGGGCAUGAUGAAGUUGUAUAGUCAACAUUGGGACUGCGAACUGUAUUUACUUAGGAACAUUGUCCAACAUGAGAGGUACUUAAGAGAACAUAGGAAUGGUUCUCCAAGUCCCUUAAAGCUGCAAGAUCAAUGUAUGGUUGAAGCCGAAGUAACACUAGAUCUCCAACCUCAAAGUGUGGUGUCCAGAUUCAGAAUCGUGGUUAGCUCAUGA
This 222-nucleotide long non-coding RNA is filed under the name Vicia faba (fava bean). Lineage: Eukaryota; Viridiplantae; Streptophyta; Magnoliopsida; Fabales; Fabaceae. The record is from RNAcentral.